CAGCAGCCGCGGUAAUACGAAGGUGGCAAGCGUUGUUCGGAUUUACUGGGCGUAAAGGGAGCGUAGGUGGUUAGGUAAGCCCUCCGGGAAAUCUUCAGGCUUAACCUGAAAAGGUCGGGGGGGACUGCCUGGCUAGAGGACGGGAGAGGAGCGCGGAAUUCCCGGUGUAGCGGUGAAAUGCGUAGAGAUCGGGAGGAAGGCCGGUGGCGAAGGCGGCGCUCUGGAACGUUUCUGACACUGAGGCUCGAAAGCGUGGGGAGCAAACAGG
This 268-nucleotide ribosomal RNA is filed under the name uncultured prokaryote. Its description in RNAcentral is "partial 16S ribosomal RNA". It matches the Rfam family "Bacterial small subunit ribosomal RNA", at positions 509 to 776 of the family's 1533-position model. The record is from RNAcentral.